RNAcentral lists this long non-coding RNA (203 nucleotides) under Medicago truncatula (barrel medic). Its description in RNAcentral is "long non-coding RNA (MTRU_LNC004349)". Lineage: Eukaryota; Viridiplantae; Streptophyta; Magnoliopsida; Fabales; Fabaceae. The record is from RNAcentral.
GUAAAUCUGGAGAAAUCAUCAACAAUAACAAAUCCAUAUCUUUUGCCAGUUAGACUUGCAGUUUGAACAGGACCAAACAGAUCAAUAUGAAGAAGCUCUAAAGGUUUCUGAGUUGAGAUAAACUCAAUAGUUUUAAAACUACUUUUUACUUGUUUACCUUUAACACAUGCUUCACAGAUUUUGUCCUUUUCAAAGCUAAUCUU